RNAcentral lists this ribosomal RNA (466 nucleotides) under Globigerinita uvula. Its description in RNAcentral is "bacterial SSU rRNA". It matches the Rfam family "Eukaryotic small subunit ribosomal RNA", at positions 1174 to 1467 of the family's 1831-position model. The record is from RNAcentral. Lineage: Eukaryota; Foraminifera; Rotaliida; Globigerinitidae.
GCGUGGAGCAUGUGGCUUAAUUUGACUCAACGCGGGAAAUCUUACCGGGUCCGGACACACUGAGGAUUGACAGGCAAUAUAUGUGACUCUUCGGAGUUUGCAUUGUUAAAUAUGCUAGUCCUUUCAUGAUUAUGUGAUAGGUGGUGCACGGCCGUUCUUAGUUCGUGGAGUGAUCUGUCUGCUUAAUUGCGUUUCAAAUUACUUAUAAGGUAGCAAUACGCGAUGAAGCUUUCAAUAGUCCUCACGGAUUCACUUGAGUCUCUCUCUUCGCUAUCCUUUCGAAUGCAACGAACGUGACCGCAACCUCUUGUUGCCUUCGUUUAACAUCCUGCAGCUCGCUGUGGGUACUGAGGGCUUCACUCGGUGACUUUGGGCUGAGCAAUCGGUCUUUUGAUCUGAGUAAACUAGAGGGACCGCUGUCAACUUCUUAAACCANAGGAAGGUUGCGGCAAUAACAGGUCUGUGA